CCUAAAAAAAUUCUGCUAAGGGGUAUUCUAGUCAUUUUAGUUUUUUCCUUAUACUAUUAUAACAUCAUUCCAUUCAACCAAACACAAGAAUGUUGUAAUACUCGAUUGUUGCCCGGGGCCCAAAACUAUUUUCACAGCCCAAGUAAACUAAAUACAUUUGGCCCAAUACGGCCCAAGACAUUGACCCAAGCCCAAAUCUAACCCUGGCCCAACUGCAAUGUGGCCAUCAACACCAAAAAAACAAACAGCAGUUACCCUAAGCAGUUCGCAGCAACCACGUGACAACAACCGCCCACGUACGGCAGCCUUUGCGUACGUCACGCACGACUUCUCGCCAGUGGUACCUGCAACGAGCCACGAACAAGUAGAUAUAACGGGAAAUAUAGCAAAAAUUGUAAAAAAAUUAUUAUUUUGGCUGUAUAUAUUUGGCUAUAAAAAGCCAAUUGUUUUCUGUAAUAGGGGUUAGCAAAAUUUUUUAUUGAAAUUAAAGAAAAUAAAAAGGAAAAAACAAAAAAGCAAGGAUUUUGAAGGUGAUUUUCUGGGUCUAUUUUCUUCUUGCUCAUUGAUUUCUUUGUUUUUUUUCCUUUGCGCACCAAACAAAAAAUAAAAGGAGGAGGAGAAAUCCUUACCAAAAGAUGCGCACUGUUGACAUUUUUGCUUCUUUUUGUCUAAAUCGAAGUUGAAAGGGGGGAGUUUGGCUUGAAAAACAGAGGAGAAGGUGGAGCAGUUCUUGAGGCUGCUGUUACCGCAAACGGGAAUGGGGUUUUAAUUAGAGUUUGAAAUGGGUUUUAACUUUUAAGCAUUGAUGGGUUAUUUUCGUUUUUAAUCCUUCCACUUUAUCCCAUCAUUUCAAAACCAUUCUUUUUUGUUUUCAAAUUUUUCCAUAAAAAAUCAAAUCUGUUUUAUUUUAGUCCAGUGUUGCGCAGCGUUUUGGGUGAUUUGGGUAAAUUUCUCUUUUGAUCCUCCUCCUGUUGGUCGCAUUUCAAUUCGGUCCCUUCUUGUGUUUUCUAUUUUUAAAUUUUGUUUUGAAAUUUCGUUUGUUUUCAAUUUAGUCGUUAAUCUGUUUUUUUUAUUAUUUCUUUUAUAUUAUUAAUUUUAUAUUAUUAAUUAUUAUUAUUGUUAUUAUUAUUAUUUCAAUGCAUGUAUGUACGCGCAUAUGUAUCUUAUAAUAUAUAUGUACAUAUUUAAAAUGGUUUUUAAUACAUAUGCAUAUCUUAUAUAUUUUAUUAUUAUUUUAUUCCUCUUAGUUUUAUAUACACAUAUAUACGUACGUAUAUUUAUAUUUUAUAAUAUUUAUAUAGUUUUUCACAUUUUAUAAUCCAAAAAUAUAUAUAUUAUAAUAUACAUAUAUAUACAUACACUAUUCAAAAUUAUUUUACAUAUAUUUUUCGCAUUUUUUUUCCUCUUUAUAUGUACAUAUAUAUACAUAUUUUCAUAAUUUAUUAAUAUAUUUUACUGAUAUUAUUUAUUUAUUUAUUUUAGAUACCUAUACCUAUACAUAUUUUAUAUUUUAUAUUUUAUUUUUAUAACUUUUAUAUACAUGUUUUAAUAUAUGCAUGCACAUAUUUUUUCAAAUUCACUUAUAUAUCAUAUUUUAUUUUGCAAAUACAUAUACAUAUAUCAUUUAAAUUGAAGUAAUUGUUUCAUGUUAUGCAUCAACAUUUUAAAAAAAAAAACAUUUUGGUUUCGUUAAAGUACCAAAAUCAUCAUAUUUUAUAAAUUUUCAAAAUAUUUAGUAUUCAUGAUUCUCGAGAAAGAUCGUGUCCUAACUUACUGGAUCGUGGUUACUUUUCGAUGAAUUUAGAAAACCAAGUAUUCAUUUUGCAAUAAAUUCACACAAAUUUCAAAUAAAAGCUUAUUCUCGAGAAUCCAAAAAUGUCGGGUCCUAACUUACUGGUCAUGACAUUUUGUUAUCUCGAAAUAAGAAUUCUUAAAACAAAAAGUAAUAUUCGGUAUUUGGAAUUUUGAGAAGUCGUGCCCUAACUUACUGGGUUUCGAUUUUCUUCAUUCAACUUAGAUAACCGAAUAUUCUUAGAUUUAACCGUGUGAGUUUAAAAAUCAAAAGCAAACUUAAUUUUGAAAAUUUAAAAAUAUUGUGCCAUAACUUACUGGGUGUGAUGUUUAUUUCUUUGAAAUAGGAAUGUUUUAUUAUUUUAAUUCAUUCAUGAGAUAAAAAGUUUUUCUUUUAAAAUUUUUUCAAAAUUUUCGACACCAAGCCAUUAAACAAUCAAUUCGGUACCGAUUUUGGGCGUCACGACGGUGCUAACUCUUCCUCGUGCGUAACUGACUCCCGAACCUGUUUUCUCAUAAUUCGUAGACCAAAAUUGUUUUAAAGGUGAGCCGAUCACACUUUAACAAAGGAUUGGUGGCGACUCCAAUUUUUAUUUUUUCAAAUCGAUAACAAAUUUUUGUUUUUCAAAAAAUGGUUUGGACAGCUUGGCGACUCCACUGGGGACUCUUAGAGAGUCGAGCCAUGAAUUGAUUAUUUUUGUCUUUUUGUCAAAAAUUGAAAAGUUAUUUUAAAUCAUGAUUUCCCUUUUCCAUUCAUUGAUUUUUAUUGUCAUAUGUUUUGUUUGGUUGACUUAAAUCUGUUAGCUUAUUUGCAUUUUGCAUUUCAUAAAGUCGGUUUUUACCCCUUUAAGUGGGAGCGAGAAGCUAGUACUUCGUGAGGUUUUCACCUCCGUGCAGGGUAGUGGACCGCUUUCGGGAGACAUCUGUACCUAUGUCUUCGAGAGAUUUUCAUCUCCGUGCAGUCACAGGGAAAUGUAUUCCCCUGAACUGAACUCGGUCUAUAUGAGCCUAUAAUGGGUGAGGAUCGAGGAAUCUGCUGGUUUGGGUACCGUUGCUUCAGAAGCCAAACCUCAUAUUGAAACUUAGGAACCCACCCUAGGUAGAAUUACUCUCUACCUUAGUAGACACCUCAUUGGAGCUUUUACUAUUUCUUGGUCGUAUUGUAUUUAAUUGAUACUGAUUUUUUGUGUUUUACUUUGAUUGCAUGGCAUAUCAUUAUAAAGGCGUUGGUUCGUGUUCGGUUGCUCGAUAGAAAGUUUAUCAUGGGAAAUGGGUUUCUUGAUAGAAUGGAGGACAAUGCGGCUGUCCAAACUUGGGCUGAGAGGGCGCAACGCGAAAAAGGUGAUAGUUUAGCCGAGGGGUAUGUAUCAGAAUUAUGAGACUUCACCCGUGUCAUCGUAGCCCAGAACAACUUGCAAGAGUUAAAGGAAAUUUGGGAUCAAUGGAAUAUUGAGGUUAGACAGUUAUUCUAUUCAAAUUAUGGGAAUUUACCUUAUUUGCUUGAUAUGAAGGUAGACAAGCGUCUGCUUCGAGCUCUUACCCAAUUUUGGAAUCCAGCCUAUAGUUGCUUCACGUUCGGGAAGGUUGAUUUGGUACCUACAAUAGAAGAAAACAUGGCCUUACUUCGGUGUUCGAGAAUUCAAGUAGACAGAAUCUACUCGAAAGCGAUAAAUGUACCGACUUUCUUGAGGAAGCUGAUGAAUAUAACAGGGAUGAGUGAGUAGUGGGUUACAGCUCGGAUCAAGCAAAAGGGAGAUAGUAGGUGCAUUCCUUGGAAAAUUUUGAAGGAUCUCAUUUUAGCACACCCAGAUGCGAGGUAGAAGGUAGAUAUCUUUGCUUUAAGUAUAUAUGGUUUGGUUAUGUUCCCUAAGACUUUGGGGCAUGUUGACGAAGCGGUCACUGACUUAUUUGAUCAGCUUGAUAAGAGAGUUACACCAGUUCCGGUAAUCUUGGCAGAAACCUUCAGGUCACUGAAUGCAUGUCGAAGAGCAGGAGAAGGUAGAUUCAUUGGAUGUACGCAACUCCUACUUGCAUGGUUCCACAGUCACUUUUGGUAGGUUGAUAAAGUUUCAUAUCAAGUUUUCUCUGAAGGUUAUUCACCAUUGAAGGAGAUAGUGACUACGCCAAAGAGGGAUGACAUCUCGUAGAAGAAAUGGAUGGCAAUUUUUCAGAGUUUGCAAGAGGAGGAUAUCGAGUGGAGAGCUCCAUGGUUACUUCCGGAUGAGAUCCUAUAUCGGUAUGGGGAUUUUGACUGGGUUCCUUUACUCAGAAUUUGGGGAGCUGUUGGUUAUGCCCCAUUGCUAGUGUUAAGGUAAUACAGGUCAAGGCAGUUUGUGCCUGCAACUCAGGGACUGGCUGAGUGUGAAUUCUCGUAUAAAGAUGGUGGUUAUAAAAAGAAGGCUCAUGAGAUGGCCAAUUCAUGGAAUCAAACUCACCGAAUAAAGAGAUUAGCUGUGGGCCCAAUGACAACUCCCGAGUAUAAUGAAUGGUGGGUUAAGAGGAUUAAUGACAAUACUCCUGGGCCAAAUUCAGAAAGUAGUCAAUCGAUGGAGGAGCAUUUGCGAGUCGUCCCUUCUGAGUUGGAAAUCAUAAAGCAGGACUUUGAAAGAAAAAAAUGCAGAAUUAGAGAAGAAAAUAGAGCAAAUGGAGGAAAAAAAAUGAAUUUGAGACUAGAUGUGGAUGUUUAAAAGCUCGAGGCUGAUAAACUAAGGAAGGGAAAGAGUAAGGCCGAAGAGGAAUUAGAUAGCUUGAAGACAGAUUACAAAAAGUUGCGUCUGUCAAUGAGAACUGCCGGGCUUGGAAAAACCUCAGAACAGUGGCGUGAAAAAAUUUGAGAAGAAAGAAACAGGUCAGACUAGUGGGAAAGAAAAUUUCAAGAGGUUCAAGCACGAAACGAAGCAUUAGAAAAGAGCUUGUCAGAGGGCCAAAAGGAAAAAAGUGAGUUGAAGGACAGGGUGGUUGAGUUAGAAAGGUUUCUUCGUCAGCAUAGAAGUCGAAAUUAUGUAGUAGAGCUAAAGGCAAGUUUAAACAAGAUUGAAGAAAUGAAGGGUAAAAUAGAGGGGUUAGAAGCAGCAUUGUGAAGUUGUGAGGUUCGGAUUGAGCAUCUAGAGGCAAAGGAGGGUCGUUAGAUUGAGCAACUUUAUUAUUUCCAAAAUCAAGUAAGAGACAGGGAUCAUGUUAUGGGAGAAGCUGUGGUUCAGAUUCGAGAGGUAGCAGAUCACCUACAAGCUUUAGCAAUACAGGCCGACGUGUUAAGCGUGAAGUAUGAAUUGGAGUCAGAUCGAGGACGAGACUUGGCCUCGUUACUUAAAAGGAUUAAAGUCUUGAGUAUUAGGGUAAAACCUUAUUUGUAGUUCAUUUUAUGUAAAAAGAUUUGUUUUCUAAUAAAGUUUUCUAAAAGUAAUUGAACUCAGAAUUGAUGUCUUUUUUGCAUUCAUUUUCAUGCAUCGUAUCAUAUGCAUUAAAAAUUGUUAAAUGGUUCUAAUUAAUCAAAAUCAUCCUUCAGUUAACCUAGAAACUAGCCGGUCAACCUAACACUAUUACGGUACACGAGCGAAAAUAAAAAGUAUGGACCAAAUGUUGAAAAAGCUCGAGCAGUUCCAGAAAGAAAUGCAGUAUCAACUUCAGCAGCAAAUGCAGGAGCAGCUUGAGAAGAUCCAACAGAAGAUGGUGGACAAAAUGGUAGAAUCUCAAGGAAGCAUGAUGACACAGUUAACCCGACUAUUGACGGAAGGAAAGGAUAAAGGAAAGAGCCCUAUGGUUAAUGUCGAAGAGGAAGGUGGUGAAAGACCCUUAUAUUCUCCAGGCUUUACACCUCCGCAUGCGCAGCCCCAAGUCGAAGUAUACCCACGCAAAUAUUCUGUUACGAUUAGGCCUCAGAAAUUUCAAGCUGAUGCUUCACGAUUGAUGAAUUACCAAGUCGGAUCAGGCUCUAGCCCUGAGGAUAAUCUUGUCACUCCUGUUGUUCCUGAUUUUGAGGAGGCGGUUGAAAAAGAGAAAACAAAAGAAGAAUUACCAAAGCAAUUAGAGGAAAGAUGGAAAUGGAUUGAAGAGAAAUUCAAAGCGUUGGAAACUAUUGAGAGAUGUCAUGGGAUUGAUGCUAAGGAUUUAAGUUUGGUACCAGAUUUGGUGCUUCCUUACAAGUUUAAAAUGCCGGAAUUCGAGAAGUAUAAUGGAACCAGUUGCCCAGAAGCUCAUAUCACCAUGUUUUGUAGAAGAAUGACCGGAUAUGUUAAUAAUGACCAAUUGUUGAUACACUAUUUUCAGGAUAGCCUCAUGGGAGCAGCAUCUAAAUGGUAUAAUCAGUUAAGCCAUACUAAGAUUAGUUCCUGGAGGGAUUUGGCACAUGCUUUUAUGAAACAGUACAGUCAUGUGGCAGAAAUGGUUCCUGAUAGGAUUACUUUGCAGAACAUGGAGAAAAAGUCGAAUGAAGGUUUUAGACAGUAUGCUCAGAGGUGGAGGGAGGUGGCAGUGCAGUUCCACUCCUUGAAAGAGAAAUGACGAUGCUCUUUAUAAAUACGCUGAAAGCCCCAUUCAUUACACAUAUGUUAGGAAGUGCCACGAAAAGCUUUUCUGACAUAGUCAUGAGUGAUGAGAUGAUUGAAAGUGCUAUAAGGAGCGGGGGGAUUGAUGUUGAAGAGAACAACAGAAGGCAGGCCUCAAAGAAAAAUGAGGUGAACAACGUGAAUACAUACAACAAAUCAAUUACGGUGAAGCAGCCUAGAAAAGUAGUGGCAAGUCAACAGGGUUCAUCAAAACAGGAAUCUGGUGCGAUGCCAAGUACUGAAAGGCCUCAGUUCACACCCAUUCCUAUGUCGUAUAAAGAAUUGUAUCAGAAUUUAUUCAAUGCGCAUGUUGUUUCCCCAUUUUACUUGACUCCGUUACAGCCUCCGUACCUUAAGUGGUAUGACGCAAAUGCACAAUACGAUUUCCAUGUAAGAGUUACGGGGUAUUCUAUAGAACAUUGUACUUCUUUUAAAAAGCUUGUUGAAAGGCUCAUUAAGAUGGAUGUUGUCAAGAUAGAUGAUUCAUCAGGCACGAAAAAUCCAUUACCCAAUCAUAUUGAUGCCGGGGUAAACAUGAUGGGUGAAAGUAUGGGGAGAAAAGUCAAAGAAAGUAUUGCUGAGGUAAAAAUCCCUUUGAAGAGGGUUUGAAAAGAAAUGGUGGAAAGAGGGUUAAUCGUCUCGGAUUUAGUGAGAGGUGGUGAGACCCAAAGUUAUUGUGAGUUUCAUCAUGAGGUGGGAUACGAAAUUCAGAGAUGCGAGGAAUUUAGAGCUCUGGUUCAGAGCUUGAUGGAUAAUAGAGAAGUAGAGUUUUUUGAAGAGGUGGAAGGAAAAGGAAGUGUACGUGCGUUAGAGUCAGCGAAACAAGGAUUCCGAGGGUUAAUCAUCCUGUGAUCAUCAUCUUGAACCCUAAGGUUAAUGAGGUUAGGGCACAGGUGAUGCCGAAGAUUUUAAUUCAGAAGCCAACAAAGUUUUCAUACAAGGAUAGUAAGAAGGUCCCCUGGAAUUAUGAGUACGAUAUAACAGUCUCGGGAAAGGAAGCUUUAGUUAGUGUUCCAAAAGAAAACCAAAAGACAGGUUCUUAUGCAAAUGAUGAGAUGUACUGCAGUCGGAUAAAUGCCCAAGCAGAGUCAACGGAGGGAGAAUUCUUAUGGCAGAGCAAAAGGAAGAGAGGCCAUUGAUUAAUGAGCCAAUAAAGGAGGAAGAAGCUACUGAAUUCUUGAGAUUUUUGAAGCACAGUGAGUAUAGCGUGGUAGAGCAGCUGCAUAAACAGCCAGCUCGUAUAUCUGUGUUGGCCUUGCUCAUGAGUUCAGAGGUGCAUCGAAAUGCGCUGAUAAAUACAUUAAAUGAAGCAUACGUGGUAAGUGAUAUUUCUGUCAACCUAUUGGAUCGGUUGGUCAACAAUAUAAGUGUUGAUAAUUUUAUCUUCUUCAACGAUGACGAAAUACCAUCUGGAGGUAUGGGGUCCACUAAAGCUCUGCACAUUACUGCUCGGUGUAAAGGAAGUAUGGUGUCGGGAGUUUUAAUUGAUAAUGGAUCCACAUUGAAUGUACUGCCCUUAUCUACUCUCAAUAGACUACCUAUAGAUAGCUCACAUAUGAAAACAUGUCAAAAUGUGGUGAGGGCAUUCGAUGGAACGGAAAGGAAGGUUUUGGGAAGGAUUGAGAUACCGUUGCAGAUUGGCCAAAAUACUUAUGAAGUGGAUUUCAUUGUAAUGGAUAUCAACCUUUCUUAUAAUUGUUUGUUGGGAAGACUUUGGAUACAUUCGGUGGGGGCUGUACCGUCAUCGUUGCAUCAGAAGUUGAAGUUAGUGACAGAGGGACGGUUAGUGACCAUAAAUGUUGAGGAGGGUACUAUUGCGUCAAUAACCAGUAAUGCACCGUACGUGGAAACGGAUGAGGAGGUAGUGGAAUGUUCUUUCCGAACCUUAGAGUUUGUGAAUGCAACAUUUAUUGCCGAAGGGAGUAGAAUUCUAGUGCCGAAUAUAUCCAAUGCUACAAGAAUGAGUCUUCAAUUAGUAGUAGGAAGAGGAGCUGUUCCGGGAAAAAGGAUUGGGAAGAUAUUUGCAAGGAGGAGUUAGGGUACCAGUAAUGAAAGAAAAGUAUGAUCGUUUUGGUCUAGGUUAUAAACCAGAUGUAAAACAAAAGAGAAAAGAAAUGGAGAGAAGAAGGUCACCCCUGAAUGGAAAUGAGGUUAAGUGGGAACCUAUGGCUUUUCCUCACAUAUCCAAGACAUUCGUAUCAGGGGGUUCAUUCAUCCUGAGCGAAGAAUGCUUAAAGUAAAAAAUGUUGAAGAAAUGCUGGGAGAUAUCCACAUUAAUGCCUUAGACACAUUCGAGAGAGGGACACUGUUAGAGAUUCGCCCUUAUGAACCUGGAAGUGAGCUAAACAAUUGGACUGCGGAAGAGAUUCUUGUAGUUUUUAGAGCUCUUUCAGAGUAAAUGUCCAGAACAUCCUUGUUGUUUUAACAUUAGGAAUUUCUUUAUAUGCACAUGUGAAACGUUAUGAUUCUAAUAAAUUCACUUUUCGUAUUAAAGCCAGUAGUCUUUUUCAUUCUUUUUUUUGAAUAAUUAUUCUUUUAUUCUUUUUCCAUAUCAUUCAUUUUUUUCAUUCAUAAUCAUAUUCGUUCAUAAAUUCAUUGUUUGUAUAUUCUUUGGCGCCUACCAUAGGUUCCCAGAUAUCAAUGAUUUGAAUGACGAUGCUUCAGACUCAGAAUCCCCUUUUGAGCAAGACGUGUGUUUAGAGGGAUCACAUGAUUUUGAAGAUGACGUAGACCGUGAUGUAUCUUUGGAUUUAUUGAGAAUGGUAUAACAGGAGGAUAAGCAAAUCUUGCCUCAUAAAGAAUCAUUAGAGAUUGUGAACCUAGAGGAAGAAAAGGAGGUAAAGAUCAGAACUGACGUUACUGCCAAGACAAGGCGAAACCUCAUCGAAUUACUCUGUGAAUUCAAAGAUGUCUUUGUAUGGUCAUAUCAGGAUAUGCCCAAGUUAAGCACUGAUAUUGUGGUACACCGUCUUCCUAUAAAGGAAGAUUGCAAGCCAGUUCAGCAGAAGCUCAGGAGAAUGAGGCCUAACAUUGUGUUAAAAAUAAAAGAAUAAGUCAAAAAACAAUUUGACGUUGGGUUCCUGCAAGAAGUCAAAUAUUCAGAGUGGGUAGCCAACGUAGUCAUUGUCCCUAAAAAAGAUGGAAAAGUAUGAAUGUGUGUGGAUUACAGGGAUUGGAAUAGAGCCAGUCCAAAGGAUAAUUUUUCGUUGCCUCACAUUGAUACUUUAGUGGAUAAUACGGCAGGUUAUUCGUUGUUUUCUUUCAUGGAUGGUUUUUCUGGGUACAAUCAAAUAAAGAUGCAUCCGGAAGAUAUGAGAAAGAUCACAUUUAUUACUUUGUGGGGGACGUUCUGUUAUAAAGUGAUGCCCUUUAGGUUAAAGAAUGCGGAGACAACUUAUCAAAGAGCUAUGGUAACUUUUUUUCAUGACAUGAUGCACAAGGGGAUUGAGGUUUAUGUUGAUGAUAUGAUUGCAAAGUCUAAAAUGGAAGAAGAGCAUGUUCAGAUUCUGCGGAAGUUAUUUUUGAGACUAAGGAAUUUCUAGCUCAAGCUUAAUCCAACGAAGUGCACUUUUGGAGCUAGAUCAGGGAAGUUUCUGGGCUUCAUAGUCAGCGGGAAAGGAAUUGAGGUUGACCCAGACAAAGUCAGGGCAAUACGAGAUUUACCUGCACCACAUACUUAGAAAGAAGUACGAGGAUUUCUGGGAAGAUUGAAUUAUAUUGCUCGGUUUAUUUCACAACUAACUGAGAAAUGUGAUCCCAUAUUCCGUCUUCUGAAGAAGCAUAAUUCAGGUGUGUGGGAUGAAGAAUGUCAGAAAGCUUUUGACAAAAUAAAGUGGUACUUGUCCAACACUCCAGUGCUAUUGCCACCUAGCCCAGAUAGGCCAUUAAUACUGUAUUUAGAGUAUUUGACAAUUCAAUAGGGUACGUGUUAGGCCAACAUGAUGAAACAGGAAGAAAAGAAAGGGCAAUAUAUUAUCUUAGCAAGAAAUUCACUGAGUGUGAAGUGAGGUACUCGUUCAUUGAGAAGUUGUGUUGUGCUUUGGUGUGGACAACUCAAAGAUUACGGCAUUAUAUGUUGUAUCAUACGAGAUGGCUAAUUUCAAAGUUGGAUCCCUUAAAGUAUAUGAUAGAGUCGACUGCUUUGAAUGGGAGGAUGGCUAGAUGGCAGAUCUUGCUUUCUAAAUUCGACAUAGUGUAUGUGAGUCAGAAGGCCGUAAAAGAGAGCGCAAUAGCUGACUUUUUAGGUAGUAGAGCCUUGGAGGAUUAUGAGCUUUUAAACUUUGAUUUUCCAAAUGAGGAUUUGAUGUAUGUGGCAGUUACUGAAGAAAAUCCCCAAAUGGAUCAUGUGUGGAAGCUAAAUUUUGAUGGAGCCUCAAAUGCUGUGGGUAAUAGAAUUGGGGCAAUCCUAGUAUCUCCAAGUGGAGAUCACUAUCCUGUUGCUAGCAAACUAGAUUUUGAUUGUACGAACAAUAUGGCAGAAUAUGAAGCGUGCAUUAUAGGCGUUCGUGCAGCCAUCGAAUGUAAGAUCAAAGUGUUAAAAGUGUAUGGUGAUUCUACAUUGGUGAUAUACCAACUCAAAGGAGAAUGAGAGAUAAGAGACCCUAAACUGAUCAAUUAUCGAAAGAUGGUUCUGAAAUUGAUGGACGAGUUUGACGACAUCACUUUUUGUUACCUUCCACUAUAUGAGAAUCAGAUGGCUGAUGCAUUGGCCACCCUAGCCUCUAUGAUCCGAGUGAAUAAGUUAGAGGACAUUAAUCCUAUUCAGAUGAGUAAUUCUAAAACACCGGCUCGUUGCUAUAAUGUUGAGGAGGAGGGAAAAGAUGACUAUCCCUGGCAUUUGAAUAUAUUUUGAUAUGUGAAAAAUCGUGAGUAUCCAGAUCAGGCGACGGAGAAUGAUAAGAGAGCAUUGAGAAGAAUAGCUAUUGACUAUGUUCUAGAUGGAGAGGUCCUGUACAAAAAAGGGAAGGAUCAAGUACUGCUAAGAUGUGUGGAUACAGUAGAAGCUAGAAAAAUUCUAGAGAAGGUCCAUGAGGGUAUUUGCGGAAUGCAUGUAAAUGGUUUCACGAUGGCCAAGCAGAUCAUGAGAUUUGGGUAUUAUUGGUCUACUAUGGAAAGAGAAUCAACUAUGCUAGGAAAUGCCAUAAAUGUCAAAUUUAUGGUGAUAAAUUGCAUGCACCUCCUUCACCUCUUCAUGUUAUGACUUCUCCGUGGCCUUUCUCUAUGUGGGGUAUGGAUUUCAUUGGGCCAAUAUCGCCAAAGGCUUCUAAUGGGCAUCGCUUCAUCUUUGUGGUUUUUGACUACUUUACCAAAUUGGUGGAAGCUGCUUCUUAUGCAAAUGUCACGAAGUCAGCAGUUAGCAGAUUCUUGAAAAAGAAGAUCAAAUGUUGAUAUGGAAUUCCCGAGAGGAUCAUAUCUGAUAAUGCGUUGAAUUUGAAUAAUAGCACGAUAGCAAAGGUCUGCAGUCAAUUCAAGAUCAGACACCAUAACUCGUCGCCAUAUCGCCCAAAGAUGAAUGGCGCAGUAGAAGCAGCCAAUAAGAAUAUCAAGAGAAUUGUGGGGAAGAUGACCGAGACCUACAAAGACUGGCAUGAGAAAUUACCAUUUGCUCUCUUUGCUUAUAGAACGUCUGUUAGGACUUCGACCGGGGCGACACCUUUCUCUCUGGUUUAUGGGAUGGAAGCAAUUUUACCCAUUGAGGUGGAAAUUCCUUCUCUUCGGGUAUUGGCUGAGUUAAAAUUGGAUGAGGUAGAAUGAGCUCAGUCUCGUUAUUAUCAGUUGAACUUAAUAGAAGGGAAAAGGCUAAAGGCUAUUCAACGCGGUCAGAUGUAUUAAAGGCGAAUGAUGCGAGCCUACAACAAAAAAGUUCGUCCUAGAGAAUUUCAUGAGGGUGAGCUAGUGUUGAAAAAGAUCCUUCCCAUACAAAAAGAUUUUAGAGGAAAAUGGAUGCCAAAUUGAGAGGGUCCAUAUAUUGUAAAGAAAGCCUUUUCGGGUGGAGCUUUGAUUUUGAGUGAGAUGGAUGGCAAAGACUUACCAAACCCUGUAAACUCAGAUUCAGUUAAGAAAUACUUUUUUUUAAAAUAAUAAUAAUAAUAAUACUUUUACAAAGGAAAUUUUGCAUAUAACUCUGGAAAUUUCUAAAUAAUAUAGGGACCUGAAACAAGGUCAUUGUUUAGAAUACACCAAGUUCAAGGGUUGAAAUGUCUAAAAAGGAAAAUAUUAAAAGUAAGAUUAUCCUUUUGUUUUUAUCAAUCAAAUACUGACUGAACAAAAUGGCAAAAUGUAGUAAUGGUGACAAAGCUUGAUCACCUUGCGAUAAGAAGAAGUUGUUCUUGGAGAGGAAAAUUCAUUAUUUGUGCAUGAGCAUUUGGUAUGACACCCUGGGAAUGGUGUAAGAGACCAAAGAGUGUCACAUUCAGUAUCCUUGAAUUGUGAUAGCAGAGGAUUGAGAAAAGGCCAUAUUUUUUUUCUCGUGGGUUACAACGGGAGAAAGAUGGUACAAAUUUUGCGUCCCAGUGGAUUAAACUUGGAGGUUUACAGUAGGGGGCAAUCUGGUCAAGUGCUUCUUUGGAGACGCCAGCCGAGCAAAAGGUGCUAUAGCAUAUUAGUGAUGAAACCUUAAUAAACUUGGAGUAAUAAUAACUCAAACAUUAAAAUAUCAUUUUCAUGACAUUCUGCAUCCAUUCAAAUGUCAUUCAUACAUGUCUAGUUAGGAGUGUUUGAUUCAUUCUGAUCAUGACAUCCUAAUUACUAGGCAUAAUUAGGUUCAUAAAAUGAAUUAUAUAGGUCAUGUUCUCUAGAGAACAGAUCAAAUAUAGCAGAUCUUGUCUUCCCAUACUGGUGGCGAAGUAGAUCGAAGAAAGCAGAUCUUGUCUUCAUGUAUUGGCGUGAAGUAGAUCAAAGAUAGCAGAUCUUGUCUUCCCAUACUGGUGGCGAAGUAGAUCAAAGAUAGUAGAUCUUGUCUUUAUGUAUCGGCGUAAAGUAGAUCAAAGAUAGCAGAUUUUGUCUUCCCAUACUGGUGGCGAAGUAGAUCAAAGAUAGCAAAUCUUGUCUUCAUGUAUUGGCGUGAAGUAGAUCAAAGAUAGCAGAUCUUGUCUUCCCAUACUGGUGGCGAAAUAGAUCGAAGAAAGCAGAUCUUGUCUUCAUGUAUUGGCAUGAAAUAAAUCAAAGAUAGCAGAUCUUGUCUUCAUGUAUUGGCGUGAAGUAAAUCGAAGAUAGCAGAUCUUGUCUUCCCAUGCUGGUGGCGAAGUAGAUCAAAGAUACAAGUUUUAUCUCCCUGAAGUUGCAGUGGAGCAGAUUGAAGAAAAUGAUCCUAUCUCCUUGAAGUUGCAGUGGAGCGGGUUAAAAUCAGAUCCUAUCUCUCUGAAGUUGCAGUGAGCGGAUUAAAAAACCACAAGUCUUAUCUCCCUAAAGUUGUAGUGGAGCAGACUAAGGAUAGCAAAUUUUGUCUUUUGAGAAGUUACAAGUAGAGUGGGUCGAAGCAUCAAUACCUUCGAAGAUGCAGUAGGUUGAAAUGGGGCUACCUAAAGAAGAAUAGCACCAAGGUCCAACACGACCGGGCAAAAUUGGCCAUUUUUAGAGUAUUUGCUAUGUUCCCAUUACAUGAUAACAAGCAAAGAGGGGCAACUGUAAUACCCAAUUGUUGCCCGGGGCCCAAAACUAUUUUCACAGCCCAAGUAAACUAAAUACAUUUGGCCCAAUACGGCCCAAGACAUUGACCCAAGCCCAAAUCUAACCCUGGCCCAACUGCAAUGUGGCCAUCAACACCAAAAAAACAAACAGCAGUUACCCUAAGCAGUUCGCAGCAACCACGUCACAACAACCGCCCACGUUCGGCAGCCUUUGCGUACGUCACGCACGACUUCUCGCCAGUGGUACCUGCAACGAGCCACGAACAAGUAGAUAUAAAGGGAAAUAUAGCAAAAAUUGUAAAAAAAAAUUAUUAUUUUGGCUGUAUAUAUUUGGCUAUAAAAAGCCAAUUGUUUUCUGUAAUAGGGGUUAGCAAAAUUUUGUAUUGAAAUUAAAGAAAAUAAAAAGGAAAAAACAAAAAAGCAAGGAUUUUGAAGGUGAUUUUCUGGGUCUAUUUUCUUCUUGCUCAUUGAUUUCUUUGUUUUUUUUCCUUUGCACACCAAACAAAAAAUAAAAGGAGGAGGAGAAAUCCUUACCAAAAGAUGCGCACUGUUGACAUUUUUGCUUCUUUUUGUCUAAAUCGAAGUUGAAAGGGGGGAGUUUGGCUUGAAAAACAGAGGAGAAGGUGGAGCAGUUCUUGAGGCUGUUGUUACCG
Molecule: long non-coding RNA, 14616 nt
Filed under: Gossypium barbadense (sea-island cotton)
Lineage: Eukaryota; Viridiplantae; Streptophyta; Magnoliopsida; Malvales; Malvaceae
Description: long non-coding RNA (GBAR_LNC022550)
Source: RNAcentral